Long non-coding RNA from Pseudophryne corroboree (corroboree frog), 1523 nucleotides. RefSeq lists it as uncharacterized. The transcript has 5 exons. NCBI's taxonomy places the organism in Eukaryota, Metazoa, Chordata, Amphibia, Anura, Myobatrachidae. The record is from RefSeq and is a predicted model, not a curated record.
AGGCAGGAAAUCUAGUCCCAGAGUUCUUGUUCUUCUCUGCAAGCAGCUUCCGUGCAGACUCUUCCUCCUUUCAGCUCUGCAGCCUGGUGCAGAAAACCACCGAAUGCGACAUCCUGAAGCCAGCCCUCCUCAGUGAUGUGGUUACAUAGAGAUGGCUCCCAGUCUGGAUGCAAAUUCCCAUUUCGAUGUUUAGAAUUGCAGGAGUUAACCCCUUGGGAACCAGGUGCGUCUAGACCACCAACCGGGAGACCAUCAGUUAAACAGCGCUGUGCCACUGACUAUAAAUGUCGCUAGAUACAAAGUUGAUCUGUACAAUAAAAAGAAGUAUAGACACGUGAACGCCAGAGUUGAAGUACCGUACAUAUAUAAGCUGAACUAAAGAUUAGCUUUCCAGAUUUGGAUGGAUGGAUAGAUGGACGGUUCUCGGUUUACUCUGCAAAACGUCAGGUUAUAUCUAGAAGAAGAUCUCUGUCAGUCAUUGUGGCCACUUACAUAACCUAGAAGACUGACAAUCUGACAUCUUGUUUUAUUCCAUCUACAGCAUCAAUUCCGGAUCUCUCUACCUGUAUCAGUGAUUUUCUAGAAGUAUUACAAACGUGUUCCUUAUUUCUCCGGCAUAUAGAGGUACAUGUAUAAGGAGUCAGUCCUGUACUAGGUGGAGGUGCUCCUGGAUGGUGUGCUACUAGCACUCACCGUGUGACAUUGCAAGGAUACUGAAUUCAGCGCUGAGUUGAAGUGAUCCCAUCCUUCAUGGAUCAAAAAGAAAAGGGAAAUCACUUCCAUGCCACCAGAGUGCAACCAUACUUCCAGCCGGACAUGUCCUGGGCAGAGUUCAACAUGGAUAAACAUCUAAAUAAGACAGAAAUGCCACAAAUGCUGUGGAGAACAGAGACAAGCCACAUGAGAGAGGAAGGGGGUAGGAAGUGGUUGCAUAAAUGCACUCAUGUAUCAAGCCUCCCAUUCCAGCUGUUUUACAUAAAACAUUUCAUUAUUAGAGAGGAGGGGCUGAAUGAAAUGUGAACCAGUGUAAGGGAAGUCUCCAGCUGCUGGGAGAUCAGCCUGGUUCUGAGCACAGGAGAGACAGCUACAGUAUGUGCAGCAGGCACCAUAGCAAUCAAACCAGAGUAACCACCGGGUGGCUCCACAAUAACCCUUUUUGACAUUUAACAGACUAUAAAUUCAAGGCAUUUCUGUUUUGUUUUUAUCACCCAUUACAAAGGAGAUUCCAUGUAUCUGAUUGAUAUUAGUUGCAUGCUCUACUUGAAAUAUUACAAGACUGACUGGACAGUCUGGCCCAUGUGAUAAAAGGGCUUUUGAUUUUCAGAAUAAAUGCGGCCUGUGGAACACAUCCACUGGUGUCAAAAUGAAGUGCUUAAAAUGUGUUUGCUGUGUGUGUGUGUGUGUGUGUGUGUGUCACCAAUUAAAUGCAUGUAGAUGGAUAUAGAUGAACAAAUCAUUGUGUCACACGUAACCAUGCAUACUGUUUGUGUCAGCCUGAUGUGCACCUCACUGUGUUACUUUGU